GUCCGGGCGGCCGGAGGGGACGCGGCCGGAGCCCCGGGAUGGGGAACAAAUCAGCCCAAAAUCUCAAAGAGGUGGCAGCAACAAUGGUCAGUUUCCAGGUGUCAGAGCAAGCUAAGAAGAAGGUGAAAAAGAAGAGGUGGUAACACAAAAGAGGGCAUCCUCUCUACCUUUUACAGCUCUGCCAAGUCUGACCAAAUUACAUAACUUCUUACCCAUGUGAAGCUGUGUUACACACAUAAAGUAACAACCAGGGUACAGCGAGUUACCUCCUACAUGCCAGAGGAUGCACAGAGACCAGGAGAGAGCGGUGCUUCAGUUUCAGCAAAGACCAGCAGUGACUGAUGGCAGAAGGGAAAAGGAUGCAAAGCAAGGCCUCAUGUUUAUUAUUCUUGGACUUCAGGAAGAAUGGAGUUGGCUUCUUGCUUAAAGCCAGAUUUUUACCUUCUUGCAGCCAUUGAACUUUAAAGGGAAUCUCUAAAGACCCCCAUGCAGAUGCUCAGGAGUGAAAGUGCAUCUGAAGGAGGCAAAAAGAACCAGCUAAAGACAACAGAAUUGUAUGUACCAAAGCUGCAAAGCACAGCAGUGUGUGGAAAUGAGAAGUAGAAAAUACAGCAUAGUGAGAGAAAGAAAUACACGAAUCAAGGAGCGAAGGAAGCAAUAUGAAAUGCAUUACAAGAAAAGGCAUACAACAAUUACAAUAAAGAGAAAAAAAAUCCAUACCUAGAAGAUGUAGAAAUAUGCAUAUCUUUAAUACAAUUAAAAAGUUUAAGUGCCAUAAGUAUCUUGUCCAAACAAGGCAGAGGCACCCAUCAUUGUGUGAAACUGCGCAGGAAAUAAAAGGAAGAGUCCUUUUCCCACACUGGAAACAUGUUAUCAUAUAGGUUCAGUAUGGACUCUUUAUUAGCAAAGUUAAGGGAAAUACAAAAAGUCAUUCAGAACAAAAA
Long non-coding RNA from Melospiza melodia melodia, 944 nucleotides. RefSeq lists it as uncharacterized. The transcript is spliced from 2 exons. Lineage: Eukaryota; Metazoa; Chordata; Aves; Passeriformes; Passerellidae. The record is from RefSeq and is a predicted model, not a curated record.